This 449-nucleotide ribosomal RNA is filed under the name uncultured bacterium. RNAcentral's name for it is "partial 16S ribosomal RNA". It matches the Rfam family "Bacterial small subunit ribosomal RNA", at positions 29 to 523 of the family's 1533-position model. The record is from RNAcentral.
AGCGAACGCUGGCGGCAGGCCUAACACAUGCAAGUCGAACGAACUCUUCGGAGUUAGUGGCGGACGGGUGAGUAACACGUGGGAACGGGCCCUUUGGUACGGAAUAACUCAGGGAAACUUGAGCUAAUACCGUAUGUGCCCUUCGGGGGAAAGAUUUAUCGCCAUUGGAGCGGCCCGCGUCUGAUUAGCUAGUUGGUGAGGUAAAGGCUCACCAAGGCGACGAUCAGUAGCUGGUCUGAGAGGAUGAUCAGCCACAUUGGGACUGAGACACGGCCCAAACUCCUACGGGAGGCAGCAGUGGGGAAUCUUGCGCAAUGGGCGAAAGCCUGACGCAGCCAUGCCGCGUGAAUGAUAAAGGUCUUAGGAUUGUAAAAUUCUUUCACCGGGGACGAUAAUGACGGUACCCGGAGAAGAAGCCCCGGCUAACUUCGUGCCAGCCGCCGCGGUAA